ACCCGCUGAACUUAAGCAUAUCAAUAAGCGGAGGAAAAGAAACCAACAGGGAUUGCCUCAGUAACGGCGAGUGAAGCGGCAACAGCUCAAAUUUGAAAUCUGGCACCCUCGGGGCCCGAGUUGUAAUUUGCAGAGGGUGCUUUGGCGUUGGCUGUGGUCUAAGUUCCUUGGAACAGGACGUCGCAGAGGGUGAGAAUCCCGUAUGUGGCCGCCAGCCUCCGCCGUGUAAAGCCCCUUCGACGAGUCGAGUUGUUUGGGAAUGCAGCUCUAAUGGGAGGUAAAUUCCUUCUAAAGCUAAAUACUGGCCAGAGACCGAUAGCGCACAAGUAGAGUGAUCGAAAGAUGAAAAGCACUUUGGAAAGAGAGUCAAAAAGCACGUGAAAUUGUUGAAAGGGAAGCGCUUGCAGCCAGACUCGCUCGCGGUUGCUCAACCGGGCACCAGCCCGGUGCACUCUUCCGCGGGCGGGCCAGCAUCAGUUCGGGCGGGUGGAUAAAUACCUGCUAAAUGUACCUCUCCUCGGGGAGGACUUAUAGGGUAGGUGGCAUACACCCAGCCCGGACUGAGGUCCGCGCAUCUGCUAGGAUGCUGGCGUAAUGGCUGU
Molecule: ribosomal RNA, 602 nt
Filed under: uncultured fungus
Lineage: Eukaryota; Fungi
Description: eukaryotic LSU rRNA
Rfam family: Eukaryotic large subunit ribosomal RNA
Source: RNAcentral